GAUGAACGCUGGCGGCGUGCUUAACACAUGCAAGUCGAGCGAAGCACUUUAAAGGAAGUUUUCGGAUGGAAUUUAAAAUGACUGAGCGGCGGACGGGUGAGUAACGCGUGGGUAACCUGCCUCAUACAGGGGGAUAACAGUUAGAAAUGACUGCUAAUACCGCAUAAGCGCACAGUGCUGCAUAGCACAGUGUGAAAAACUCCGGUGGUAUGAGAUGGACCCGCGUCUGAUUAGGUAGUUGGUGAGGUAACGGCCCACCAAGCCGACGAUCAGUAGCCGACCUGAGAGGGUGACCGGCCACAUUGGGACUGAGACACGGCCCAAACUCCUACGGGAGGCAGCAGUGGGGAAUAUUGGACAAUGGGGGAAACCCUGAUCCAGCGACGCCGCGUGAGUGAAGAAGUGUUUCGGCAUGUAAAGCUCUAUCAGCAGGGAAGAAAAUGACGGUACCUGACUAAGAAGCCCCGGCUAACUACGUGCCAGCCGCCGCCGUAA
RNAcentral lists this ribosomal RNA (495 nucleotides) under uncultured bacterium. RNAcentral describes it as "partial 16S ribosomal RNA". It matches the Rfam family "Bacterial small subunit ribosomal RNA", at positions 28 to 523 of the family's 1533-position model. The record is from RNAcentral.